Non-coding RNA from Gopherus evgoodei (Goodes thornscrub tortoise), 687 nucleotides. Lineage: Eukaryota; Metazoa; Chordata; Testudines; Testudinidae. The record is from the annotation of a RefSeq genome assembly.
AUGCUCUGGGCUCCCCUCAUCGUCCUACUGGGAACGUGGUGCACUGGUUCCAGCUCACAGCCUGUGCUGACUCAGCCACCCUCGGUGUCAGUGUCCCCAGGAAACACUGUGAAACUCUCCUGCACCAUGAGCAGUGGGACCAGCAUCAGUGGCUAUGCUGUGUCCUGGUACCAGAAGAAACCUGGAAAUUCUCCACGAUACCUGCUGAGAUACAAGUCAGACUCCGACAAGCACCAGGGAUCUGGGGUCCUUGCUCGUUUCUCUGGUUCCGAAGACACAUCCAGUAAUGCCGGCUAUUUAACCGUCUUCAGGGUCCUGGCAGAGGAUGAUGCUGAUUAUUAUUGUGUUGUGUGGAGGGGUGGCAAUGCUCCACACGAUGACACAGACAGAUGGGGAAGGUCUCUCGCCCAGUACGUGCUGACCCAGCCGCCCUCAGUGUCUGUGUCUCUAGGGCAAAAGGCUCAACUGACCUGCUCAGGAAACAACAUUGGGGGCAAGUAUGUGCACUGGUACCAACAGAAACCUGGCAGUGCCCCACUACUUGUUAUAUAUAGUGAUAGCAGCAGACCCUCCGGAAUCCCUGAUCGAUUCUCUGGAGCCAACUCCGGUAACACGGCCACAUUAACCAUCACUGGAGUCCAGGCACAGGACGAGGCUGAUUAUUACUGUCAGUGCCGAGAGCUCUAA